Molecule: ribosomal RNA, 488 nt
Filed under: uncultured bacterium
Lineage: Bacteria
Description: partial 16S ribosomal RNA
Rfam family: Bacterial small subunit ribosomal RNA
Source: RNAcentral
GACGAACGCUGGCGGCGUGCUUAACACAUGCAAGUCGAACGGAAAGGCCCUGCUUUUGUGGGGUGCUCGAGUGGCGAACGGGUGAGUAACACGUGAGUAACCUGCCCUUGACUUUGGGAUAACUUCAGGAAACUGGGGCUAAUACCCGAUAGGAGCUCCUGCUGCAUGGUGGGGGUUGGAAAGUUUCGGCGGUUGGGGCUGGACUCGCGGCUUAUCAGCGUGUUGGUGGGGUAGUGGCUUACCAAGGCUGUGACGGGUAGCCGGCCUGAGAGGGCGAUCGGCGACACGGGAGGUGAGACGGGGACCAGACUACUAAGGGAGGCAGCAGUAGGGAAGCGUCGGCAAUGGGCGAAAGCCUGACGGAGCAAGGCGGCGUGAGUGAUGAAGGGGUUGGGAUCGGAAAAAUCGGUGAUGAGGGAAGAACAAAUGUGGAAGGAAAUAUGCACGGCUUGACGGUAAUGAAUAAGAAAGCCACGGCUAACUACGUG